GCGGCGGAGGUCGCCGUGACCGCCACGGUGCGCCGGUCGACGGCGCUGCUGGGUGGCACCGGCGUGCAGGUGCAAGAGGGCUGGCCCCACGCGGACGACGACGGCGGGACGGUGUGGUUCCGACCGGCCGC
This is a non-coding RNA of Brachypodium distachyon (stiff brome), 131 nucleotides long. The record is from Rfam. NCBI's taxonomy places the organism in Eukaryota, Viridiplantae, Streptophyta, Magnoliopsida, Poales, Poaceae.